GGGUGAUUAGCUCAGUGGUUUAGAGCAUUUGUUUUACAAGCAAAAGGUCACUAGUUCAAAUCUAGUAUCACCCA
RNAcentral lists this transfer RNA (74 nucleotides) under Candidatus Shikimatogenerans bostrichidophilus. Its description in RNAcentral is "tRNA-Val". It matches the Rfam family "tRNA". Rfam says of the family: Transfer RNA (tRNA) molecules are approximately 80 nucleotides in length. Their secondary structure includes four short double-helical elements and three loops (D, anti-codon, and T loops). Lineage: Bacteria; Pseudomonadati; Bacteroidota; Flavobacteriia; Flavobacteriales. The record is from RNAcentral.